Long non-coding RNA from Neopsephotus bourkii (Bourke's parrot), 318 nucleotides. RefSeq lists it as uncharacterized. The transcript has 3 exons. NCBI's taxonomy places the organism in Eukaryota, Metazoa, Chordata, Aves, Psittaciformes, Psittacidae. The record is from RefSeq and is a predicted model, not a curated record.
CCGCUCGUGGGAAACGGAGUGAUAUGCCAGACGGCAAAGUGUUUCAUUUAUCCAGAGUCACGGGGGUUGAUCCUGAGUGAGUCUUCACUUAGACAUGCAGCCCCGUUCCUGGAAAGGAAUUGGUCGGUGUUUAACGAGUGUGAGCAGUGUGGGAACCAGAUCAAGUAACCAGGAGCUGCAGGGUAAAAAGGAUGUUCAGUGGGACAGCAAGUAUUUGGUUUUUACAGCUACUGAAACUGAAAACAGACAAAUCAACCAGCCCUAAACUACCCUGAUGGGAUAUUGUAAUGGCCACUCAUAGGCCAUCAAAGGGCAGCC